GUGGCAAAGUAGAAGAAAGCGGUCAUAGAAUAUAUUUCUACGAGUUGCAUGUUUGCUGACCCUUUAACUAAACCUAUUUAUAGAAAUAUAUUUUUGGCUCAUGUUAAGUCGCUUGGACUUUGUAGAGUUUGAUUAUGUAGAUAGUUGAUCAUUUCUAUAUUAUUGGUAUAUAGAAUAUUUUUGGUUAUUCAUGCAAUAAUAAAAUUUUAUUAUUUAUCUAUAUUUUCUUUGCAUGAACCAAAAUUAACACAUGCAUAUAUACAUAUACACAUAC
This 274-nucleotide long non-coding RNA is filed under the name Elaeis guineensis (African oil palm). RNAcentral's name for it is "long non-coding RNA (EGUI_LNC012424)". The record is from RNAcentral. Lineage: Eukaryota; Viridiplantae; Streptophyta; Magnoliopsida; Arecales; Arecaceae.